Molecule: small nucleolar RNA, 132 nt
Organism: Vulpes vulpes (red fox)
Lineage: Eukaryota; Metazoa; Chordata; Mammalia; Carnivora; Canidae
Source: Ensembl
AUGCAUCUAUUGAGCGGGCCUGGUACAGUUACUGUUUGCGGCUUCAGUUCCCAUUACAGAUGCAAGAAAAAAGUGUCCUCCUGAUUUCUGUCUGUCUGGUUGAAGCAGACAAGAUUGAAUGGGAAAAAUGCA